CGGGAUAGCUCAGUUGGGGAGCAUAGAAAGGG
This 32-nucleotide transfer RNA is filed under the name Rhopalocarpus sp. Chase 906. RNAcentral describes it as "partial transfer RNA-Phe". The record is from RNAcentral. Lineage: Eukaryota; Viridiplantae; Streptophyta; Magnoliopsida; Malvales; Sphaerosepalaceae.